UCAGAGAAGAUGUCUUUAUGCCCAAAC
This 27-nucleotide non-coding RNA is filed under the name Mus musculus (house mouse). The record is from RNAcentral. Lineage: Eukaryota; Metazoa; Chordata; Mammalia; Rodentia; Muridae.